GUUCGUAAGUUUGCUUAGUUAUUCCGGUCUAAAUCUGGCAAAGAAACUUAAAAUAGACCACGACCUCUUUCUUGUCUCUCUCUCUCUAAUUCCGAAAAAUCUAAUAAUUCAUUUCAUUGUUACAUGACUCUUGUCGUUGAUACAGCGUCUUUGAAACCGAAUGAGCAUGUACACAAUAUUAUCUGCCAGUGUGUGUAUUUACUCUGAAUGUCCCCGCCUAAAUCUCCCUUCAUUUUAUCGCAAGUACAAACGUACAAUAUUCGUUUGGUAUGAUUAUUAAUUCAAAAUGGACCCUUGUAAGUGCCACAGCUGCUAUAAUCAUGUGUUUUUCGGCGCCCCGAAAAACUACUUGUUGUAAAGGAACCCUGUUUAGACAGAAAACAAGAACACAAGAGUCAGAAGCUGCGCGUUUUUGUAUUGCUAUGUCCCGGUUUUCCGUGCGUUCUUUUCCACUCCAUUAGACUAUGGCAUACCCGAGAAACACCCCUCGCUUUCUUUCUGAGUAAAUUUUUGUAGCGGCCGGAUUGCUGUAAUCGUAGAUUUUAACACUUUGCAUUCUGCUUCUGUUAAAAACCUUUUUCUGUUUGUGUGUUUUCAUGGUAACAUGUACUUUACGCUAUUGAAAAGCCCAAAUAGUUAACUUUAAUGUUGAGAGACGGCGAUCACGUUUAUUUUUCUGAUCUUAUUCACCUGACAAACCCAGAUCGAAAAAGCCAGUACUUCUAACGAUAUUUGUCGUGCGUAACAUGCAAAGACUUCCCUGCCCUCUCUUUGUGGAAGACCGUACUAAGUACCGACUGUCGAAUCGCAGACAAGCAGUCGCCCUGACGAUGGAAAUAGUCAGAAUUGUUGGACGGUUUAAAUGAUGAGAUUUCUAGAUCAAUUCGUGAUGUUUCACAGGAUUACCUCUUUAUAUACAUAGAUUGAUCUAAGCAAUAAUGCUGUUGAACUUUAUGCGGGUAGGGGGGGGACUUGCGCUAUUUGAAUAUCACCUCGUGCUCUGAUUUUACCCGCAGGUGUUCAUGUAAUAUCUCACUGUGUUCAGGUAAAUAUGUGUCGAAGUCCGCUGGGACUACGAACGGCAGCAACUGUCGCUGUGAUCGCACAUAGCGGAUAGGGCGUGCUGGCGGCAUAGUCGCCAGAUACCCUCACCGUAUUUAGUUCGUUCUGCACGUGUGUCUGAAUGGCCUAGUGCCUUUCUUAACACGUGUUAAUUGCUUAAUUUCCCCAGUUUAAAUUCUAACAGUAUUUUCAUUUCUUCUAGAACUCACCUUACUACGUCGUGGCAGGAUGUGGCAACCACGAAGAGGACGACGACGAGCAGUUGAACAGCAGACAUCUUGGUGGUGUUGCUUCCAGCUGAGGAGAAGAAGCUUAAUUGAUCCUUGGGAUUCAACUGAGGGGAAAGCUGUCUGUCACCUGACCAGCCUGCUGCUUGCCAGGAAAUCAGUGGAGUAUGUUCAGUACACUUGGCAGGCUCACUUCAUAUCGCAACAGAAACUUGGCUGUGAUCACGAAGGGCACUCCUGUCUGCUACAGAUUUAUCUGUCUCAACUUGAUGUGCACUGUGAGUAGCGGAAAUAGAGUGAUCCUUCAGAUUCUACUGAGCUGCAUGCUGUGUGUCAUCUGACCUGCGUACUGCUUGCCAUAGAAGCAGAGGAGUGCACCAACACUAGACAGACUGACAUCCGAGAGAAGACCGCUUGUGUCCCCGAUGGUUGGCCGUCCUGUUGCUGAGUGCAUACAUGGAGAAGAGGACUGAAUGCAGCAUGUAAAUUUUGUGUGCCUCUGGAGAGGUGGUGCAGUUUUCUGUUAUUUAACCCAUUGACAGGGGCUUGCUCUGUUGUGGUAAUUGUGUUGCAAGUGUGAUAGCAACUUAGAUAUGAAUCAUGUGAACGUGUAAGGUGUGGAUGUCUAGUUAUGUGUGUGGGGUGUUCUACGGAGUGUAGUAAAAUAGUAGAAAUGUCGGCCGCAAUCACAUUGCGUUGAUAAGAGUCUGCUUCAUAGUGUGGUGGCCAACACAUCUCGGAAUGAGAGAGAGUUUGUCAUGUGUGACAGGCUGUAAGUUGCAGGUGCUCUUGGCUUUGGCCGCAGCUUGUCACCAAAGAUGUGAUUCCUCUUCCUGGAAAGAAUGUGUUAUUUCCUUUUAUCUGCUUCAUCCCAUUUCACAUUCUCAGUUCAAGCUAAUGCCACAGGAAGAUCUUCAAAACGUCAGUCAUUGUGAAUCUGUUCGGAAGCAGAUGGGGGGGGCUCUGCAGUUUCACUCGUUUAGGAAGUGCGGUGAUGAAGAUCUCUGGCAUAGCUAUACCGGACAGUCUUGAUAAUAGUGGGUGUCCGUUCUCUGACCCAGGAGGGCUUUAAAAGUGUGCUGACCACGCAUUACUUAGUUUGUAUUUUCUUCAUGUAAAUCUGUAAAGAGAUGUCAAAGCGGGAGGUAACGGGAAUACUUAGUGAUCAUCACCGAGAGGGAGUUUCCAAACAGUCGUUAACGGGAGAUGCGCAAUAGCAGUUGUCCUAUGAUCGAAAAGUGUGACUUGCCAGUGAUGAGAUUGCUUUUUGAAAGUCAGACGUUGCCGUCCCUGCGUGCGAGAAAAUGGCGCAGCUCCUCUGCUGUUAUUGUUUCCUUCGGACGGCGUGAUGGUAGGAUGCAUGCCCAGUCGAGUGCAGAUUUACUCUCUUAUAUUGCCAGGGCUUGCAAGUUUAUUUGAACUGAUGUUUGUCAUCUUUCUCCUGUGUGAAGUACGUAAAGUGGGAAAUAUUUUGGUUGCACGAAAGGCCGGAUUAGUUGCCAGUAGGCGUGAAUGCAAGCAUAUGGGAUACUUCAGCCGUUAUGCAGUUUCGAAUCCAUCAUUACUACGGAGGUAGCAAGACUUUGCUCGGGUAGCUGACAUGACCAUUGUGCGUGAUGGACACAAUUCAUCAGUCGAUGCGGUUGGGAUGACCCACAGACUCGUGGUGGCAGCCUCUGUUUUUGUGACUUGCAUGUGGAAAUUCAGUAGCUGUUGAUUUAAAUUUGUGCAAGAGCUUAUCGCAGUGAAGAAGCUAGAAGUAAGCAGCUAGGGUUACAGGUUGUAAUGUUGGUUAUGUGGCCACCACACCACACCACACCACAGUUGCCCACUUUUGAUUCCUAGUGACCAAGUAUGGGGUGUUCGUAGCAUGCCUCACAAUGCCACAAGGAAGACCUCAGGCCCUCGUGCGAUUACCUUGCUUUCCGAGGAGGUGUACUGUUAUAGAUUUAGUGGGAGUGCCUAGUCUGUCUCAAAGAGGAGUGUGAGAUCAGGGGAUGUGCUGAGUAGCAACUUUCAUGUGAACUGUAGCUGUAGUGUGUGUUUACUGGCAUCAACGAAGACAUGGAGGACCAAUUUGUCUGAAUAUCAGUGUUUCAGAAGAUCAGUUGUGUGCGUGAUGGGGAAGCAGCUUUUUUGGAGUUGGAGAUGUGAAGAACGAGACAGAACGAAGCACCUGGAGUGUUUGUUACUUGGAUAAGGAAUUGCAUUAUUCAGGACACCGGCCAUGCCGUCAUCAUGAAGUUACCUGCUUCAGUUCCCUCUGGGUGUUCUGUUUGACAUGGCUGGGGUGAAGAACCAGAACGAUAUUGGCCGCAGUUAGAUGACCUGUUACGGGCGAGUAAAACCUCUGUGUUGUGCCCCUGACACGAGAUAGGGCGUUGGACCAACAUUUCUCAAAGAGAGAGCAUAUUAAUUGGCUCACAAAGUGCAGCGUAUGUAUAGAGCUACAAUAACUGGAUGUGAGUGAGUGAGUGUGUGUGUCUGUCUGUUCAUAAGAGGCACCAGUACAAGAAGUAGGACACUGUCUUCUGACUUCAUAUCACAAAGAAUAUUAACUGGAUGAAUAUUCGGAAUAUGUACCAAGUUGGAAGAGGAAUACUUUUUCUGCCAAGCAACGGAGGAGUGCACCAACACUAGACAGACUGACAUCCGAGAGAAGACCGCUUGUGUCCCCGAUGGUUGGCCGUCCUGUUGCUGAGUGCGUACAUGGAGAAGAGGACUGAAUGCAGCGUGUAAAUUUUGUGUGCCUCUGGAGAGGUGGUGCAGUUUUCUGUUAUUUAACCCAUUGACAGGGGCUUGCUCUGUUGUGGUAAUUGUGUUGCAAGUGUGAUAGCAACUUAGAUAUGAAUCAUGUGAACGUGUAAGGUGUGGAUGUCUAGUUAUGUGUGUGGGGUGUUCUACGGAGUGUAGUAAAAUAGUAGAAAUGUCGGCCGCAAUCACA
Zootermopsis nevadensis is the source of this 4233-nucleotide non-coding RNA. NCBI's taxonomy places the organism in Eukaryota, Metazoa, Arthropoda, Insecta, Blattodea, Termopsidae. The record is from RefSeq and is a predicted model, not a curated record.